Long non-coding RNA from Passer domesticus (house sparrow), 2457 nucleotides. RefSeq lists it as uncharacterized. Lineage: Eukaryota; Metazoa; Chordata; Aves; Passeriformes; Passeridae. The record is from RefSeq and is a predicted model, not a curated record. The transcript is spliced from 3 exons.
GACCAACCCCAUCACCUUUUCCCUGCCUUUGGCUCUGUCAGGAGCAGGAAAUCUCCUUAACAGGGGCACCUUUAAAGGCCACAGCCCGCCCAUGUGUGCUCUUUACGUGGAGCUUCCUACAAAGGCAAGAUUUACUUCCUACAAAACCAAGAUUUACUUCCCAUCUUCUCCUCCUGCUCGGGUCCUCCAGGGGACGACAGCUCCACAGCCGUGCUCUGCCUCCUGCUUAUGGAUUCUCUUUUGGUGCCUGGGAGAAAGGAUGGGCUGGCACAGGAGCCAGACCUGCCCAGGAGGAGCAGCCUUGGAAUGCCCAUCCCAGAAUUGCUGCCAGGCUCAGGGCUGUGGCACCUUGUCAGCAGGGUGAAGAGCCACCAGUGGGGCUGAGAUUUGUGCUGCUGGCACAGAGAUCCCAUCCUGGCAUUUUGCUGUUCCAGAAAUAAGCUUCAGCUUAGGAUUUAUCUGCUCUUGUUUAAUGCCUCAGGAAAGCAGCCAAGAAAGAGCCCUGAUGUGCUGUGGACUGGCCCAAGGGGAGCUGGUAGCUAAAGACAGCUAAAAGCCAGAGAAAUUCUGGCUCCUGAGCCCUGCCCUAUUUGUUUUGUGACAUUUGGAACCCAAAUCACUUGGAUUUUUCAGCUCACACAUGCUCCAGGGAUGUGCAUUGGCUCAAGAGACCACAAAGCAUUUCCACCUUGGAGUCGUGUGAAGUUUGGGCUGCACUGACCCACACCUGGAAUUUGGGGAUCUCUUCCAAAAGAAUUGCUCAGAAAACUCUCAGCACUGGGGAGAUUGUGGUGGGCAGAGAAAUCUGUCACUCAAGGAUUUCUGGUGUUUCCCCACCUCACUGGGCUUGGGCUCUGCUGUUUGCUGGGGACAGACAGGGCAAAGCUGAUUUUGGGAGGGCCUGAGCUGAUUUUUGGGGCUCCAGACUAAAGGGGAAAAGCCCAAACAAAGAUCUGCUGCUGUUCCUGGCUGUGCCAUCGUUGUUAUAAAUCACAUACCCAAAACUUUAUCCUGUACUGAACUCCCUCCUCCCAAUGGGCCUGUUUAAAAAUAACAUUUUGCUGCUCUGAUGCUGCUGCUGGCAAUGCAAAUUCAGAAUAUUUAGAGGAGAAAAGUGCCCUGCCUUAAUUUCUAACACUCAACCUUUGAACCUUCCACUUCUCCAUAUUUUAGGGGAUUUGUGAUGAAAGAAUCCAGCUUUUAUUUUUUAAAUCCAGCAUAUUUUUUUUCUGAUUGUGACUCCCUAUCACAACUUGACUUAAACUUUCCCCAAGUCCUGCUCGUUACCAUAAUUUGGUGGAUUUCUUCUGUGUCUCAGCACUACCCCUGAUUAUUAAUGGGAUCACAACAACAACAAAAAAAUCCCCCUCCCUUUGCCAAUAAGGCAGGUGAGUUUGGGGGUGCAAAGUAGGUCAUAAAACAUCCUGACUGUGGUAAAAACUGAAUUAAAAUUACCUGGGCCAUCCUCUGCUUUUGUGCUCUUCCAUCAGGUGUAACAAAAUUCCAGCACUUGCACAGACUUGCUGCAAGUCCUUUAUCUUUAAUCUGUUUUCUUUCUGCUGAUUAGAGCUUUCCUAAUAUUGGGGGUGUUAAUUGAUGCAGAUUUAUGCAGCCUGGCAGAAUUUAUGUGAGUGCACAUCAGGAAUAAGAGGGGAAAUUGUCAGAGAUGUCCAGAGAGAGGGAAGCAUUUGGAGGGGCUCUGCAUCCAAGCUGAAUUCCAUAAUUCUGGACAUGAGCAACCAUCUUAACCUCAACAGGGAGAAAAAUCAGGGAAACCUUAAAUUGUGAUCAUUCCAAGAGGUUUUUGCUGCUCUAAUUCCACAGCAAGGGGAGAGGCAGCUCCUCCUGGGAGCUCAGCACACCCCAAAAUCCCAAAUUCCCACAGGAUUUGGGGAUGGUUGUCCCAGCAGUAACAGGGCCUGCAGAGCCUUUCCUGAUCCCAAACUUUGAUUUCUCCAUGGAAACUCACUCUGUGUCCUCAGCAGCUCGUGGAUUUUUUUCUCCUUUGGGAAAAAUAAGGAUUCACAUCUUGUUUGUCACUGUUGUCUCGUUCCUGCCGCUGACCCGGGGAUAAGGAUCUGGCACAGAACAUUUUAUCAGCUGUAGGAAAUGUUCUUUCUUUAUUAAUUCCAUCUGGGAUCAAUAAUUAAUGCUGCUGUCUCCUUUGCAAUCCCCCUCAGUGGGAGAGGAGGUCGGGAUUUCACUGCUUUGUGUUCCUUGAAGCCCUCAAAAUCCCAAAAUACACAAGGAUUCCUAUAUUAUGAAACUUUUUUUCUUUGUUUAGGAGUCAGCAAGAUCCAAAUUUAUGGGGACAAGGUGGAUAAUUGGGACUAGAAUUCCCAGCACAGAGAAAAGGCAGCAAAGAUUGAGCGAGGAUCAUCCCAUUCCUCCCUGGUCAGGGAGAAUAAUAAUUCAGAGGGACUUUCGGGGCAGAAAGUGAACUUUAAAUUGGUAGGA